GUACCCUCAAGCUUUGCUUGGUGUUGGGCGUCUUGUCUCUAGCUUUGCUGGAGACUCGCCUUAAAGUAAUUGGCAGCCGGCCUACUGGUUUCGGAGCGCAGCACAAGUCGCACUCUCUAUCAGCAAAGGUCUAGCAUCCAUUAAGCCUUUGUUUUCUAUAACAAAUCCACA
Molecule: unclassified non-coding RNA, 171 nt
Filed under: Alternaria alternata
Lineage: Eukaryota; Fungi; Ascomycota; Dothideomycetes; Pleosporales; Pleosporaceae
Description: sequence contains ITS2
Source: RNAcentral